RNAcentral lists this long non-coding RNA (3713 nucleotides) under Olea europaea subsp. europaea. The record is from RNAcentral. Lineage: Eukaryota; Viridiplantae; Streptophyta; Magnoliopsida; Lamiales; Oleaceae.
CUUUUCUACUUUAAACAUAACAAAUAUUAUCUGCUAAAAUACUAUAUCCCAGUAAUUUGUGAUGUUGAAUGCUCAAUCCCACAUAGCUCAUUUUUUAGAUAAUGAAAGUUUUUAUUUCGGUGAAUUUUGCAGAUUGCUUUUAUAACAGAAGUUUUCCACCCGAAUGUUAAAACAAAUGGAACCAUAUGCCCUGCAAUGUUUAAGGAGGGUCAGCCGGUGCUAACCAUUUCCAAGGUUUGUUUUCUAUAUGUCUGAUGUUGAUAUGCCUCAUCGAAUUUUCAUAUGUACUCAACUUCUAACUUGAAAAUCGAAAAUUCUAGCAUGGGUUUCUCACCCAUUGAAUUGUGAAUUUGGAUCUCCACAAGUCUUUUAUUUCUUUGGCAUUAAUUAUAGUCCCCUAUCUUACUAGUUUGUAGCACCCUGGUGGAGGGGUUUCGUCCAGGUGACCAUUAGUGAGAUAGAUUUUUGUUGAAACACGUAACCCACUAGGGACAUGACUUUAGCUAUACUAAACGCUUUGAAACUGAGACCUUUUCAAACUGUGAUAAAUUUUCUUGGUUAAGCACGAUUAUUGCAUACAUGUUUUAAUAUUUUGAAAAAGGUUUUACUUGAUGUACGCCUUGUGAGGGGGCUCACAAUUAUUUUAUUCAUGUGGGCCCCUUUAACUUGUGAGGGGACUGUACAUCAUGAUGUAACAAGUGUCUUUUUCCUUUUAAAAAUGCUUCAUAAUCGCGUUCAUAUUAAUAUCAUUAAAAAUAUAUCCAACCGUACUUAGUCCAUUAUUUUUAAAUGGGAAAAAUGUAAUGCCAAUCUUUAGCCAAUCAUUGUGUAUUUUUGUUCCGAACUUUGUUUAUUAACGCAACUAUAACGAAAAUGUUCUAAAAAAUUGUUAAUAUCAGCCCCUUGCAUAAUGAAAUAAUUGAACACUAAUGCCAAAGCAUUACUCCCAAAUCAUUGAUGGUUUUUAUUAUUGUUGACAACAGAAAUUAGAUGAACAAAUCCUCUCACUCAGGCAGGAUUUCCAAACUCACUAGUUUCGAUACUCAAAUUGAAGUAAGAGGGAAAAUAGUUAUUUGGUAAGAAAAUAUUUGAAUUGCAUCCCUUUCUCUUUAGAAGUGGGGAUAUUUAUAGAUUUUCCUCCAUAAUUUGGGGUAAUUUGGUUAUUUAGGGAAAGUGACAUAUGGUGACUCCUUAUUGGCUAAUUUGUAAUCUAUUCGUUUAAAAGUAUAACGUUAUAUUCAUUUAUCCAUGUGUAUUUUAUUAACAGCCUAAUACUAGUCUGAAUGGAGGGGGGGGGGGGUUUCACCUAUUUUGUGCAAACCUUUUAUGCUUUUUCUCCCCUAGCGUGUUGCUUUUAAGCUUUCCGAAUUUGUAUUACGAGGUUCAACAGUUAUAAUACCAAAAAAGUCGUUUACAAUUCUAAGUGGUCUUUUGGGGUUCAAUUUCACUCUUUUACAAUGAAGUUCUAUGACUUAAAAAAAAAAUAAAAAUAAAAAUAAAAAUAAAAAGAAAUAUGGUUUCAUUUACAAUUCUAAGUGGUCUUUUGGGGUUCAAUUUCACUCUUUUACAAUGAAGUUCUAUGACUAAAAAAAAAAAAAAAAGAAAUAUGGUUUCAUGUGAAUGAAUGCUUGAAUUAGUACUUUUUUCUCAAACGUCCUUAAAUUCUUACAUAUAAACAUGCAAAAUCUCUGCUGAAAAGCUAACUUUUCAUUUAGUGGACCUUUUCCCUCUGCCAGUUUAAAAUAAAUAAAUAAACAUUUAAACAACUUUCUCCAAACUAACAUCCUUUUCCACACCCUACACUUCCAUUAGUUAGGUUGAGGGCAUAGACGAUGGUCGGGAGCCAUUGGCGGAUCUAGGGGGGCACUUUCCCCUAGCCCAAUUCACAGUUACAAAAAAAAUUGCACAAAAAAAAUAAUAAAAAUUUAAGUAAAUAUAUAUUUAUUUUUUUUGUCCUAAAAUUUAUCCUGUAUCCACCCCUGUGAGCCACCUGGUGCUGGCUGUACUUCCACUAUAUACUUUUAUAUUUUUCUUAGGAAUGUAAAUAGAUCGGAUAUGAAGCAGAUUUGCCCAAAUUCGAUCCGAUAAUCCAACGGAUAUAUUGAUUGUUAAAUCUAUAUCUGAUUUGCUAUGUUAUCGGAUAUCCGAUCCAGAUUUGAAAAAAAUAAAAAUAAAAAAAAAUCUACCCUUUUUUUGGGUAAUAUAAUUUUUUUCCUAAAAAUUAUUUGAACUAUCUUGAUGGACUCACCUAUUAUAUGAUUUUUUUCCUAAAAAAUAUUUUAACUAUCUUGAUGGGCUCACCUAUUAUACUAGAAAGCCCCAAUCAAUUUUUUAUUCAAGUGAUGCUCCUUUAGUUCCUUUUUAAAUGAGACUCCUCUUGGAAUGUUUUAGUAAUCUUCCAAUGUGGGAUAUUAACUUUUUAAAGGAUACUCCUCUUUCAAUUCUUUGGUGAUCUUUCAAUGUGGGAUAUUAGUGAAUUGUCAAUUCUAAGUGUUACAAGUUUAUUUUAUUAUUUUCAUUAAAAAUCAUAGCUUCAACAAGAUUAUAAUCACAAAUAAUAUCAAUUUAAACAAUGUAAAUUAUUUUUGGACAUAUUAAUUAUUAGUUUUUUAUGUUAUAAAACAAAUUACUAUAAUUAUUUUUAUCUUAUUUUAAUUAAUAAAAAAAAUAAAUCUCUUAGAAUAUUUCAAUUAACAAUAUGAAACUAUUUUCUAAUAUUAUUUAUUAUUUGAAAAUUAUGUGUAAAGCAUAAUAUAAGUUUCAAAAUGGAAAAAAUUAUGUUUACUAGAUUAUGAUAUAAUAUAUAAAAUAUAUUAUAUUAUUAUAAUAAAUCGGACCGGAUUGUUAUCGGACCGGAUCGACCUAUAUCCAUAUUUACUCCAUUUAGUUAACGAAUUAUCGGAUUAUCAGACUAAAAUCCUAAAUCCAUCUCCCAUUAAUUUCAUCGGAUUCGAAUUAAAAUUCAAUCUAUUGACAGCCCUAAUUGCACUGUAGUCUUCCACUACGACUAAUCUUCAUUUACAUCUCUCCCUCUCAAUCUUCACUGAUUUUUUUUAUUUUUUUUUCUGAUGUAAUUUUUAACGUCAUCUGGAAGGAAUCUUCUAGUGUAGAGAUUAAAAGAUGCCACAAACUUGUUGAUCCGGUAGCUAAGAUAAGGGAUCUAAUAUCCCUAAAGAUGAUAUUUUUUUGUCUAAACUGAAUAAAUUGCUCCUUCAGUUGCAAUGGCUCAGUAAUUCAAGCUCAACUUUCUAAUGGAGUUGAAUUGAUUGGUUUUCCAAUUUUAUGUAUUACUUAUAAUUUCUGCUUUGUUCGCGGAUCCAGUCACUGAUGAUCCUUUGGUGCCUGAGAUUGCUUACAUGUGAGAGACAGACAAGAAGAAGUACGAAGCCAUCGCAAGGAGUUGGACUCAGAAGUAUGCCAUGGGCUAAUAGUGUUGGGAUUUUGACUCUAUGGAGAAAAAAAAUUGGUAAAAUUCUAUAUGAUUGUAAAUUUUUUUCAUUUCGUGAAAUCAUUUAUUAAUCAUAAUGAGUGCUCACUGUGUGAUUGUUUUUUAAUUGGAGACUGUUGGAGUUAAAAUUGAUGCUAAGCAUAAAGCAUUAAGAUUUGUAUGGUCAUUCCAUCUUCUUAUGAGACAUAUCAAACCCAUUUUGACGUAUGGAAAAGAAACUAAAAUUUAGCAGAAGUUAUAAGUAAACUGAUUUUUGAAGAAAGAA